ACUUUCCUGGAAUGUUCGACACUCUUGAAUUUUUGAACCUACAAUACUUUAAACGGGAUUCCUAUAUCUGUGUUUGGAUGCCGGGCCAUCCCUGCUGACUUGUCAGUACAAUGGAAACAUUGCAAAUGGAAGGCAGAAGAGCACAUGCGGUCGCCCACCUAGCAUAUGCUAGGAGUCAAAAAUCAGGAACCGGCAUUUUGGGAAGUAA
RNAcentral lists this non-coding RNA (208 nucleotides) under Eubacterium sp. RNAcentral describes it as "6S RNA". It matches the Rfam family "6S / SsrS RNA". Rfam says of the family: E. coli 6S RNA was the first non coding RNA to be sequenced, but its function was unknown until recently. It consists of 184 nucleotides that fold into an extended hairpin structure with a large single-stranded internal bulge. Lineage: Bacteria; Bacillati; Bacillota; Clostridia; Eubacteriales; Eubacteriaceae. The record is from RNAcentral. RNAcentral also lists the same sequence under 1 other name.